This 1205-nucleotide long non-coding RNA is filed under the name Salmo salar (Atlantic salmon). RNAcentral's name for it is "lncRNA (ENSSSAG00000119463.1)". Lineage: Eukaryota; Metazoa; Chordata; Actinopteri; Salmoniformes; Salmonidae. The record is from RNAcentral.
UAAUCCAUCGUUAUAUCCGAAUAGCGGCGUUAUGUUCGUGCGUUCCAGACACUAUCCGAAAUAGUAAAGAAGUGUCGCGCGCAUGGCGCAAUUCGUGACAAUAAAAUUCUAAAUAUUCCAUUACCGUACUUCGAAGCAUGUCAACCGCUGUUUAAAAUCAAUUUUUACGACACUUUUCUCGUAGAAAAGCGAUAAUAUUCCGACAGGGAAUCUCCUUUUCGGCAAACAGAGGAAAAAAUCCCAAAGGCGGGGGCGGUCGGGGUCAAGGCCAGUGUCCCUUGAUCGGCCACUUGAGAAAGGCGAUAAUGUGUUUCAGCCUGGGGCUGGAAUGACGACAUUCUGUUUUUUCCCGGGCUCUGAGCGCCUAUGGACGACGUGGGAAGUGUCACGUUAGAGCAGAGAUCCUUAGUAAAUGAUAGAGAUGGAAAAGAAGUUCAAGAAAUGGUCAGACAGGCCACUUCCUGUAAAGGAAUCUCUCAGCCGUGUCAAUACUGCCCCCUAGCCCUAAAAGGAUAAAGUCCUAGGGUUGUCAUCUGAUGAAGAUCAUCAAAGAGGACCUGAGCCCUAGGACCAUGCCUCAGGACUACCUGGCAUGAUGACUCCUUGCUGUCCCCAGUCCACCUGGUCGUGCUGCUGCUUUCAACUGUUCUGUCUGCGGCUAUGGACGUGCUACCUUGUCCCAGACCUGCUUUUUUCAACUCUCUAGAGACAGCAAGAGCGCAAGACUAUUCAAGCGAUCAACUCACUAAUGGAUGAAGAUGCGCUCGGCAAAGGCCAUGAAAAUUGCUACAGAAAAAACCAUUACAGAACCACCCACCAAAAGAAGACCAUGCAGCAUGGAUUGGAGCAUCGGGGAAAAGGACGGACAUGGGAGUCGGAACGUCGAUUCUGGGAGGACAAGCUAAGGGAGCUACGGGAACCUGAGAGGCAGCCUCUGAAUUAUUUUUGGGGGGGCACACGGGGAGUUGGGGUAAGUCAGGCAAUAGACCUGAGCCAACUCCUCGUGCUUAUUAUGGGGAGCGUUUGGCGUGGAAAGCACCGUGCUAUGCGGAAGUGCGCACGGUCUCGCCCAUCCGCAUGCACAGUCCGGUGCGGUCGAUACCAGCCCCCCGCAAGUGCAGUGCUAGAGUGGGCAUCGAGCCAGGAAGGAGUAUGCCUGUUCAGCACAUCUGGCCACCAGUGUGUCUCCUACGCCCAGGCUACCC